AAAUCCUUUAAAACUGUCCCGUGAGGCAGGCAAGGAGUCACGUGAAUAAUAGCUGGUGGUCUGUUUUUAGACUAUCCGAUUGAUUAUGUCCUAAAGUCUCCUUGUGUAGGAGAUUUUUUUUGU
Molecule: non-coding RNA, 123 nt
Organism: Aerococcus christensenii
Lineage: Bacteria; Bacillati; Bacillota; Bacilli; Lactobacillales; Aerococcaceae
Source: Rfam